GAUGAACGCUGGCGGCGUGCCUAAUACAUGCAAGUCGAGCGAACGGACGAGAAGCUUGCUUCUCUGAUGUUAGCGGCGGACGGGUGAGUAACACGUGGAUAACCUACCUAUAAGACUGGGAUAACUUCGGGAAACCGGAGCUAAUACCGGAUAAUAUUUUGAACCGCAUGGUUCAAAAGUGAAAGACGGUCUUGCUGUCACUUAUAGAUGGAUCCGCGCUGCAUUAGCUGGUUGGUAAGGUAACGGCUUACCAAGGCAACGAUGCAUAGCCGACCUGAGAGGGUGAUCGGCCACACUGGAACUGAGACACGGUCCAGACUCCUACGGAAGGCAGCAGUAGGGAAUCUUCCGCAAUGGGCGAAAGCCUGACGGAGCAACGCCGCGUGAGUGAUGAAGGUCUUCGGAUCGUAAAACUCUGUUAUUAGGGAAGAACAUAUGUGUAAGUAACUGUGCACAUCUUGACGGUACCUAAUCAGAAAGCCACGGCUAACUACGUG
Molecule: ribosomal RNA, 497 nt
Filed under: uncultured bacterium
Lineage: Bacteria
Description: partial 16S ribosomal RNA
Rfam family: Bacterial small subunit ribosomal RNA
Source: RNAcentral